UCAGCCUACGGGGCGCAGCAGUGGGGAAUAUUGCACAAUGGGGGAAACCCUGAUGCAGCGACGCCGCGUGAGCGAGGAAGUAUUUCGGUAUGUAAAGCUCUGUCAGCAGGGAAGAAGAAUGACGGUACCUGAAGAAGAAGCACCGGCUAAAUACGUGCCAGCAGCCGCGGUAAUACGUAUGGUGCAAGCGUUAUCCGGAUUUACUGGGUGUAAAGGGAGCGCAGGCGGUUCUGGAAGUCUGAUGUGAAAGCCCGGGGCUUAACCGCGGGACUGCCUUGGAAACUGGGGG
This 289-nucleotide ribosomal RNA is filed under the name uncultured bacterium. RNAcentral describes it as "partial 16S ribosomal RNA". It matches the Rfam family "Bacterial small subunit ribosomal RNA", at positions 333 to 639 of the family's 1533-position model. The record is from RNAcentral.